RNAcentral lists this ribosomal RNA (301 nucleotides) under uncultured bacterium. RNAcentral's name for it is "partial 16S ribosomal RNA". It matches the Rfam family "Bacterial small subunit ribosomal RNA", at positions 509 to 808 of the family's 1533-position model. The record is from RNAcentral.
CAGUAGCGCGGGAAAACGGAGGGGGCUAGCGUUGUUCGGAAUUACUGGGCGUAAAGCGCACGUAGGCGGCUUGGUAAGUUAGAGGUGAAAGCCCGGAGCUCAACUCCGGAAUUGCCUUUAAGACUGCCGAGCUAGUAGGUGAGAGAGGUAAGUGGAAUUCCGAGUGUAGAGGUGAAAUUCGUAGAUAUUCGGAAGAACACCAGUGGCGAAGGCGGCUUACUGGCUCAUUCUAGACGCUGAGGUGCGAAAGCGUGGGGAGCAAACAGGAUUAGAUACCCCCGUAGUCCCUGUCUCUUAUACA